AUUGAACGCUGGCGGCAGGCCUAACACAUGCAAGUCGAACGGUAGCACAGAGGAGCUUGCUCCUUGGGUGACGAGUGGCGGACGGGUGAGUAAUGUCUGGGAAACUGCCCGAUGGAGGGGGAUAACUACUGGAAACGGUAGCUAAUACCGCAUGACGUCCUCGGACCAAAGUGGGGGACCUUCGGGCCUCACACCAUCGGACGUUCCCAGAUGGGAUUAGCUUGUAGGUGGGGUAAUGGCUCACCUAGGCGACGAUCCCUAGCUGGUCUGAGAGGAUGACCAGCCACACUGGAACUGAGACACGGUCCAGACUCCUACAGGAGGCAGCAGUGGGGAAUAUUGCACAAUGGGCGCAAGCCUGAUGCAGCCAUGCCGCGUGUAUGAAGAAGGCCUUCGGGUUGUAAAGUACUUUCAGCGGGGAGGAAGGCGUUAAGGUUAAUAACCUUGGCGAUUGACGUUACCCGCAGAAGAAGCACCGGCUAACUCCGUGCCAGCCGCCGCAGUAA
Molecule: ribosomal RNA, 506 nt
Filed under: uncultured bacterium
Lineage: Bacteria
Description: partial 16S ribosomal RNA
Rfam family: Bacterial small subunit ribosomal RNA
Source: RNAcentral